AUUCAAGUAGCUUAAAAAUAGAGCAUAACACUGAAGAUGUUAGGGUAAUUGUAUAAUUCUUGGAUG
Molecule: transfer RNA, 66 nt
Filed under: Bactrocera zonata
Lineage: Eukaryota; Metazoa; Arthropoda; Insecta; Diptera; Tephritidae
Description: tRNA-Phe
Rfam family: tRNA
About the family: Transfer RNA (tRNA) molecules are approximately 80 nucleotides in length. Their secondary structure includes four short double-helical elements and three loops (D, anti-codon, and T loops). Further hydrogen bonds mediate the characteristic L-shaped molecular structure. tRNAs have two regions of fundamental functional importance: the anti-codon, which is responsible for specific mRNA codon recognition, and the 3' end, to which the tRNAs corresponding amino acid is attached (by aminoacyl-tRNA synthetases). tRNAs cope with the degeneracy of the genetic code in two manners: having more than one tRNA (with a specific anti-codon) for a particular amino acid; and 'wobble' base-pairing, i.e. permitting non-standard base-pairing at the 3rd anti-codon position.
Source: RNAcentral